UGAAGUCGUUGUACCAUUCCCCAAGCAGAGUUCUCCGCAGAAUAUUUCCCCAAGAGGAGUCUCCCCACGGAGUCAGAGUAUCUGGUCAUUUUGGCUCCCUAGCCAGGGUUCAUUCGCAUUUUGUAUGUAGUAAUCAUUGCAUCUUCAAAAAUCGCGUAGCAUUUCCAUUCCUAAAUGGAGCAUUACGCCAUAGAAAAAUUCAAACAUAUGCAUUCAUGUGUUCGAAACCCCAUCAAACCGUAUUCCCUGCAGAGACGGAUUUUUGUUCAACCUGUACAAACGCAUCGGCUACAGUUACUCCAGUCAACAUUUGGUGUUUAUAAUCCCCACAGAGGUUUAUUUCCUCACCUGUUGGUGACAGAAAGUUUGUUUCUCCCCAGUGAGACCCCCUGCAAGUGUUCAGCCUAGCCCUGUCAUCUUGAGAAUGUCAGUAUACCCUGUCAGCACCCGUGUCUG
RNAcentral lists this long non-coding RNA (456 nucleotides) under Lathyrus oleraceus (garden pea). RNAcentral describes it as "Pisum sativum (pea) long non-coding RNA (PSAT_LNC005322)". The record is from RNAcentral. Lineage: Eukaryota; Viridiplantae; Streptophyta; Magnoliopsida; Fabales; Fabaceae.